CUGGCAUGUUUGGAAGUCACUCAUGAAAGAACAACUCUUGCUAAUCACUCCUAGUUGACAUUUAUCAUAGCCACAUCUCAGCCAUCAGGUGAAAUCUGCCCAGCCUGAAUGCAUUCUUUGAACCAUUUUCUUCAAACAAACAGGCUGUUUUUCCCCUUCCUGCAGAUUUGGAUAGCAAGCCGCAGGCAGAGAAACCUCAAGACAGUGACUGGCUGAC
This is a long non-coding RNA of Lemur catta (Ring-tailed lemur), 217 nucleotides long. RefSeq lists it as uncharacterized. The transcript is spliced from 3 exons. The record is from RefSeq and is a predicted model, not a curated record. NCBI's taxonomy places the organism in Eukaryota, Metazoa, Chordata, Mammalia, Primates, Lemuridae.